This 389-nucleotide ribosomal RNA is filed under the name uncultured bacterium. RNAcentral's name for it is "bacterial SSU rRNA". It matches the Rfam family "Bacterial small subunit ribosomal RNA", at positions 28 to 417 of the family's 1533-position model. The record is from RNAcentral.
GACGAACGCUGGCGGCGUGCUUAACGCAUGCAAGUCGAGCGGUAAGGCCCUUUCGGGGGUACACGAGCGGCGAACGGGUGAGUAACACGUGGGUGACCUGCCCUCAGCUCUGGGAUAAGCCUGGGAAACCGGGGUCUAAUACCGGAUAUGACUCCAUGACGCAUGUUGUGGGGUGGAAAGCCUUGUGCGGCUGAGGAUGGGCCCGCGGCCUAUCAGCUUGUUGGUGGGGUGAUGGCCUACCAAGGCGACGACGGGUAGCCGGCCUGAGAGGGCGACCGGCCACACUGGGACUGAGACACGGCCCAGACUCCUACGGGAGGCAGCAGUGGGGAAUCUUGCGCAAUGGGCGAAAGCCUGACGCAGCGACGCCGCGUGAGGGAUGACGGCCU